CCUACGGGAGGCAGCAGUGAGGAAUAUUGGUCAAUGGACGCAAGUCUGAACCAGCCAUGCCGCGUGCAGGAAGACGGCUCUAUGAGUUGUAAACUGCUUUUGUACGAGGGUAAACGCAGAUACGCGUAUCUGUCUGAAAGUAUCGUACGAAUAAGGAUCGGCUAACUCCGUGCCAGCAGCCGCGGUAAUACGGAGGAUUCAAGCGUUAUCCGGAUUUAUUGGGUUUAAAGGGUGCGUAGGCGGGCGGAUAAGUUAGAGGGGAAAUCCCGGGGCUUAACUUCGGAAUUGCCAUUGAUACUGGUUGGCUUGAGGAUAGGUGAGGUAGGCGGAAUGUGUGGUGGAGCGGUGAAAAUCGUAGAGAUCA
RNAcentral lists this ribosomal RNA (364 nucleotides) under uncultured bacterium. RNAcentral describes it as "partial 16S ribosomal RNA". It matches the Rfam family "Bacterial small subunit ribosomal RNA", at positions 338 to 699 of the family's 1533-position model. The record is from RNAcentral.